UUACAGCCAUAUCACAUUGAAGCACCAGUUCUUGUACGAUAACCAAAGUUAAGCAAUGCUGAACAUGGUCAGUAAUUAGAUAGGUGACCGCUUGGGAAUAGCAGGUUCUGUA
Acanthosepion pharaonis is the source of this 112-nucleotide non-coding RNA. Lineage: Eukaryota; Metazoa; Mollusca; Cephalopoda; Sepiida; Sepiidae. The record is from the annotation of a GenBank genome assembly.